This 490-nucleotide ribosomal RNA is filed under the name uncultured bacterium. RNAcentral's name for it is "partial 16S ribosomal RNA". It matches the Rfam family "Bacterial small subunit ribosomal RNA", at positions 30 to 507 of the family's 1533-position model. The record is from RNAcentral.
AUUGAACGCUGGCGGCAGGCCUAACACAUGCAAGUCGAACGGUAACAGGAAGAAGCUUGCUUCUUUGCUGACGAGUGGCGGACGGGUGAGUAAUGUCUGGGAAACUGCCUGAUGGAGGGGGAUAACUACUGGAAACGGUAGCUAAUACCGCAUAACGUCGCAAGACCAAAGAGGGGGACCUUCGGGCCUCUUGCCAUCGGAUGUGCCCAGAUGGGAUUAGCUAGUAGGUGGGGUAACGGCUCACCUAGGCGACGAUCCCUAGCUGGUCUGAGAGGAUGACGAGCCACACGGGAACUGAGACACGGUCCAGACUCCUACGGGAGGCAGCAGUGGGGAAUAUUGCACAAUGGGCGCAAGCCUGAUGCAGCCAUGCGGCGUGUAUGAAGAAGGCCUUCGGGUUGUAAAGUACUUUCAGCGGGGAGGAAGGGAGUAAAGUUAAUACCUUGGCUCAUUGACGUUACCCGCAGAAGAAGCACCGGCUAACUCCGUG